UCGAAUUAAGAUUCCAUUUGCUCCAAUGUGUACAUGCAAAUAAAAAAAGAAACGAAAAGUAGAAUUAGAGGGGAAACUUAUGCUUAAUGGAACAAAUGGCGAACCAAAGACACGUAAAAUUCCUAAUAAUAAGCUAUAGCUACACCAUGCUCCAUUUAUUGAAACAAUAAACAAGUUUCUUGGCAUUUCAAGUAGUUGAUCAGAAUCAUACUGCACUUUUAUUUAGAAGUAUAUGUAUUGAUUUUGACUUAUGACUUGCAUCACUAAAAUUACUAGGCAAAUUACACUAGAUCGAUGGUCUGAAACACAACUAAUCUCAAAUGACGACCAAGGUCCUAUUUUAAUCAUUUUGGCUAUUCAUAGUCAUCAAAAGAAUAAUAAUACUUUUCUGCAAUUGAAAAAAAUGCAUACAGUCCUACAAACAAAUUAUGAAUCCCAUCUUCAUGAACAUCUCUAGCUUAUCAGCAAGUUUCUUUCUUUCUUUCUUUCUUGAAGGAAUUUAUAAUUUGGGAAGGACAUUUUAAACUACUCAUGAAGUAAUAUUUUUAGGCUACUAACUUCAUAAAAUUGCUUUCAAACAUACAUAUUCUAACGAGACAUGCUAAAUCGAGAUUCGACAUCGAACAAGUGUUUACAUAAAUAUUGUAUCUGACAGUUUUCUUUUCAAUUAAAAUCGGACUAAAACAUAACACAUCCUAAAUCAUGAUUUUCUACUACAUGAAGAGCUAAUAAGUAAUAGUUUCUACGAACAAAUAACAAAAUAGAGUGACGUCUCAAACUAAUUACCUCACAGAUUAAAAGAAGCACUUCGAAUGUCAAAAAAGAGGAAAUGGAAGUAACAACAUUUUUACCAAUAUGUACAGAUCAUAAACAUGCUUAGAACUGCCGAACCGAAAAAAGAAAAAAAGGCACUGACCUAUUUCAGGGCAGUGAACUGAGGGCGGCGAUCUUAGAUGCACUCUGGAAUUCCGACCUCGAAACUCUUACUGCGAACAACUUUGUUGGAGAAUUUGGAAAAGAAAUACGAAGUAUUUAGGGAAAGGUUAAUCUUUUGGGAAGUCUUUUGAAGAAUAAAAUGUGAACAAAAUAAGGAGAGAAGACGGCUCAAAGUAGCGAUUUUAGGUUUGAGAAGCGGUUAAAACCUUUUGUUUAAAGAAAAAGGCAGCGACUUCAAAAAAAGUUUAGGAUUAGGAGGCAGCUAACAACCAUCAAAUUUUGUGGUAAAAGUGUGGCUAAAAACCAUUUAAUUUAAGGUGAAAGUAGGCGGAUCCAACCCUUUUUUUGGUGUAAAGGUGCAGCUCCAAAACAUAUCCAAAAUAGACACUAAUAGGAUGUAUUUAUAGAGAUGAUUUUAGGGCCGGGGAACCAUUAAGCGGGAAUCGGACUACCAUUUGAAUUUUGAACAAAAAAAAACCAUUUAAACGUUGGAUCAAAUCUUUGAUGCCGAGACCAAAUCUCAUUCUCUGAAAAGUAAUCUUGGCUUUUUGUUAUGAGCCUAGUUUGACCAAGUUUGGUGUAUGAAGAUUCAUUAAAAUGGAAUGAUAUUUUCUAGUCUAGAGAUGAAGAUGUUUGGAGUUUUAUCAAAAUAGAAAAAGGAAUAGAGUGUGUGCCAUGAGAGAG
Molecule: long non-coding RNA, 1620 nt
Filed under: Nicotiana tabacum (common tobacco)
Lineage: Eukaryota; Viridiplantae; Streptophyta; Magnoliopsida; Solanales; Solanaceae
Description: long non-coding RNA (NTAB_LNC001253)
Source: RNAcentral